GACGAACGCUGGCGGCGUGCUUAACACAUGCAAGUCGAACGAGAUCCAAUGUGUAGCAAUACACAGGAAGAUCUAGUGGCGAACGGGUGAGGAACACGUGAGAAACGUACCCCAGACUUUGGGAUAACAGUCCGAAAGGACUGCUAAUACCAAAUAACGUCGGAAGUCCGCAUGGACAUCUGACGAAAGGGAUUCCGGUUUGGGAGCGUCUCGCGGACCUAUCAGCUAGUUGGAGGGGUAACGGCCCACCAAGGCAACGACGGGUAGCUGGUCUGAGAGGAUGGUCAGCCACACUGGGACUGAGACACGGCCCAGACUCCUACGGGAGGCAGCAGUGGGGAAUCUUGCGCAAUGGGCGAAAGCCUGACGCAGCAACGCCGCGUGCGGGAAGAAGGCGUUCGGGCUGUAAACCGCUUUCAGUAGGAACGAAACUGACGGUACCUACAGAAGAAGGAGCGGCCAACUAUGUG
This 470-nucleotide ribosomal RNA is filed under the name uncultured bacterium. RNAcentral describes it as "partial 16S ribosomal RNA". It matches the Rfam family "Bacterial small subunit ribosomal RNA", at positions 28 to 507 of the family's 1533-position model. The record is from RNAcentral.